UUGACCUCGGAUCAGGUAGGGAUACCCGCUGAACUUAAGCAUAUCAAUAAGCGGAGGAAAAGAAACCAACCGGGAUUGCCUCAGUAACGGCGAGUGAAGCGGCAAGAGCUCAAAUUUGAAAGCUGGCCCCUUCGGGGUCCGCGUUGUAAUUUGCAGAGGAUGCUUUGGGUGCGGCCCCCGUCUAAGUGCCCUGGAACGGGCCGUCAGAGAGGGUGAGAAUCCCGUCUUGGGCGGGGUGUCCGUGCCCGUGUAAAGCUCCUUCGACGAGUCGAGUUGUUUGGGAAUGCAGCUCUAAAUGGGUGGUAAAUUUCAUCUAAAGCUAAAUACUGGCCGGAGACCGAUAGCGCACAAGUAGAGUGAUCGAAAGAUGAAAAGCACUUUGAAAAGAGAGUUAAACAGCACGUGAAAUUGUUGAAAGGGAAGCGCUUGCGACCAGACUCGCCCUCGGGGUUCAGCCGGCACUCGUGCCGGUGUACUUCCCCGGGGGCGGGCCAGCGUCAGCUUGGGCGGCCGGUCAAAGGCCUCCGGAAUGUAGUGCCCCCCGGGGCACCUUAUAGCCGGAGGUGCAAUGCGGCCAGCCUGGGCUGAGGAACGCGCUUCGGCACGGACGCUGGCAUAAUGGUCGCAAACGAC
Molecule: ribosomal RNA, 633 nt
Filed under: Aspergillus japonicus
Lineage: Eukaryota; Fungi; Ascomycota; Eurotiomycetes; Eurotiales; Aspergillaceae
Description: partial 28S ribosomal RNA
Rfam family: Eukaryotic large subunit ribosomal RNA
Source: RNAcentral